CAGUAGCCACGGGAAUACGUAGGUGGCAAGCGUUGUCCGGAAUUAUUGGGCGUAAAGCGCGCGCAGGCGGAUAGGUCAGUCUGUCUUAGAAGUUCGGGGCUUAACCCCGUGAUGGGAUGGAAACUGCCAAUCUAGAGUAUCGGAGAGGAAAGUGGAAUUCCUAGUGUAGCGGUGAAAUGCGUAGAUAUUAGGAAGAACACCAGUGGCGAAGGCGACUUUCUGGACGAAAACUGACGCUGAGGCGCGAAAGCCAGGGGAGCGAACGGGAUUAGGACCCCUGUAGUCCCUGUCUCUUAUACAC
RNAcentral lists this ribosomal RNA (301 nucleotides) under uncultured bacterium. Its description in RNAcentral is "partial 16S ribosomal RNA". It matches the Rfam family "Bacterial small subunit ribosomal RNA", at positions 509 to 810 of the family's 1533-position model. The record is from RNAcentral.